RNAcentral lists this long non-coding RNA (1729 nucleotides) under Schizosaccharomyces pombe (fission yeast). The record is from RNAcentral. Lineage: Eukaryota; Fungi; Ascomycota; Schizosaccharomycetes; Schizosaccharomycetales; Schizosaccharomycetaceae.
ACCAAGUACAACACUUACGGCGUACUCAGCUAUGUAAGUGUGCUCCUUUUAUACACUCGACGAUUGCGCAGAUAAGCGUCGAUUUAAUAAAACGUAUUUUCCAAAGGCUGAUAUGAUAUCCUUGUAGGUAAUCAAUCAGUACAGCCAAAUGGUAAAAAAUGAGCGGUAGGUGUAAUGGUAGUUGUCAAAGUCGGACAGGGUAUUUUAACGACAAUUUAAUACACGAGCGAGACUAUUUUGAUAAAUUGUACGGGCGGAUCCGUUUGCGGACUUUUAAUGAUGACUCCCGUAACGCUGACGACAUGUAUCUGCACAGCGAUUCAUGGCCCGCCUCUGUGAAAGAGGGAGCGACCAUUCAGCGAUUCCAGCCGCGUCCGCUACAACAUACCGGACAUUGUUGUUUCUUGACUUCGAUUAGCAAUGUAAAUAAAUAGAGACGCUCAAAAACACCUACAAAACCGAUAGUUUCAAAAACUCAUAUACAGUUGCUUCACCUCAAAAAAGGUUCUACCUUUAGUCAUGGUCACAGGGGAUUGUGGGGUGCAACUUUUUCACAAACUCUAUGCAUGCGCAGCGGCGUAACCGAAAAUUCCCUCAUUGCAUCUAGAGGAGCCAUGUCAUUAUAAAGAGACGUAUAACGUGAUCUAACACCAAGCUCGCAAAAUCUGACAGCAAAAAAUACCAACCGCGUUAUCUAAUAAUACAGUAAUACACUUUAGACAACGUUAAUGAAGACAGGACGCGCGCGCAUCGCUUUUGAUUUGUGUUUAGUCUGUUAGAAGCAUGCUGGGGUAGAUGUGUAGGUGAGAAGCUAGGUUAUAUAAUCAAAGAAGAUCAAGCAAACUAGAAUCAAUGGUAAAUUCCUUCUCGUUUUAACUAUGUCACUCCAUUCUUAUGAGGGAAUUCGUGACGGACAAAACAGAAGAUACCGUUUAUUUGCUUUCACCUAGAACUGAUCAAGAAGCUUAGAGAAUCAAUAACGCUAAAUGUCCCAAUUUCCUACGCCAAAUACUUCAACUUAUUCAAUUUAUUGCUUACAUAGGAGUGUUUUGAUGUUGGUUCUGAAUACAUCCAAACAAACACGUGUUUCAGCUACAUCUACAUCAAGUAACACACACAUCACUGUCACUUAGAGAUGUAAAUAAUGAAUAAUAUAAGAGGUGUUUAUGGGCAGGAAAACCAAAAUAGAAUACCUUGGGCUUUACAAAAUUAAUUAGAUUUAUUAAAUUUUUACUUUAGAUUUUGUAAAUAAAGGUGUUCUAUAAGUGUGAUAAGCAGCACCACAUUCCAUCCAUGUUAAUCCUUACAUUGGAAAAUGCGGUACUUAGCGCGAACACUUUCGUAGAAGGCAAAAAUGCAAGGUACAAUUUUAGAAUGAACUUUGGAAUUGUUCCUUUUCCAAACUGAUUGGAGAGCAGUGCAGACUUCCUUGAAUUGGUUUCCAGAUUUCAAUAGCAUUACUUGACACGGACAGGUAAAGAGGUGUGUGUAUGAACGACAUAUGAGAAUAGAGAAAAAAAAUCCACUGGAGAUUCACCAGCAAAUAACAAAAAGGAUGGAAAAAGAAUAAACAUAUAACCAGAAAAAUUAAAUUAAAUCAAUUAAAAAACAAAUGCAUACUCUAUUAGGUGACAUAUGUAUAAAUAUCAUUAUCCUCGCGUUCUAGAUACUCUUUCUCUAGUAGUUUUUCAAUGGCAGUUUUCACAUCAGACACCAAGGGUAUUCCCCG